CUGGAGAUGGCGACCGGCGCACGGGUGAGUAACACGUAUCCAACCUGCCGAUAACUCGGGGAUAGCCUUUCGAAAGAAAGAUUAAUACCCGAUGGCAUAAUAGAACCGCAUGGUUUGAUUAUUAAAGAAUUUCGGUUAUCGAUGGGGAUGCGUUCCAUUAGGCAGUUGGUGGGGUAACGGCCCACCAAACCUUCGAUGGAUAGGGGUUCUGAGAGGAAGGUCCCCCACAUUGGAACUGAGACACGGUCCAA
This 251-nucleotide ribosomal RNA is filed under the name uncultured bacterium. Its description in RNAcentral is "partial 16S ribosomal RNA". It matches the Rfam family "Bacterial small subunit ribosomal RNA", at positions 82 to 334 of the family's 1533-position model. The record is from RNAcentral.